Non-coding RNA from Sus scrofa (pig), 226 nucleotides. The record is from RefSeq and is a predicted model, not a curated record. NCBI's taxonomy places the organism in Eukaryota, Metazoa, Chordata, Mammalia, Artiodactyla, Suidae.
CACACAACCAGAAGGCCAGCUUUCUAGAAGCUCAGCUCCACAUCAACCAGCCUGAUACGAGCAAAGUGUAUGGCCAAAAUUCACGCCAGAAGCCCACCUUUCCAGAAGGCAAGCUGCACUCCAUCGUGAUUCUAGAAAACUGCACACCCAAGACUCAAACCAGGUCCCUGUGGAUCCAGAGAUCUGCCUUCAGACAGUCAAAGGGCCCUCAGAACCCAGACUAGUG